Molecule: ribosomal RNA, 508 nt
Filed under: uncultured bacterium
Lineage: Bacteria
Description: partial 16S ribosomal RNA
Rfam family: Bacterial small subunit ribosomal RNA
Source: RNAcentral
GACGAACGCUGGCGGCGUGCCUAAUACAUGCAAGUCGAACGCUUCUUUCCUCCCGAGUGCUUGCACUCAAUUGGAAAGAGGGGUGGCGGACGGGUGAGUAACACGUGGGUAACCUACCCAUCAGCGGGGGAUAACACUUGGAAACAGGUGCUAAUACCGCAUACCAGUUUAUGCCGCAUGGCAUAAGAGUGAAAGGCGCUUUCGGGUGUCGCUGAUGGCUGGACCCGCGGUGCAUUAGCUAGUUGGUGAGGUAACGGCUCACCAAGGCAACGAUGCAUAGCCGACCUGAGAGGGUGAUCGGCCACACUGGGACUGAGACACGGCCCAGACUCCUACGGGAGGCAGCAGUAGGGAAUCUUCGGCAAUGGACGAAAGUCUGACCGAGCAACGCCGCGUGAGUGAAGAAGGUUUUCGGAUCGUAAAACUCUGUUGUUAGAGAAGAACAAGGACGUUAGUAACUGAACGUCCCCUGACGGUAUCUAACCAGAAAGCCACGGCUAACUACGUG